Molecule: small RNA, 25 nt
Filed under: Salmonella enterica subsp. enterica serovar Typhi
Lineage: Bacteria; Pseudomonadati; Pseudomonadota; Gammaproteobacteria; Enterobacterales; Enterobacteriaceae
Description: StyR-122
Source: RNAcentral
CAUAGCGUGGCAACAGCGCGCCGUC